This 88-nucleotide transfer RNA is filed under the name Penicillium egyptiacum. RNAcentral describes it as "tRNA-Gly". The stretch from base 14 to 84 matches the Rfam family "tRNA". Rfam says of the family: Transfer RNA (tRNA) molecules are approximately 80 nucleotides in length. Their secondary structure includes four short double-helical elements and three loops (D, anti-codon, and T loops). Further hydrogen bonds mediate the characteristic L-shaped molecular structure. tRNAs have two regions of fundamental functional importance: the anti-codon, which is responsible for specific mRNA codon recognition, and the 3' end, to which the tRNAs corresponding amino acid is attached (by aminoacyl-tRNA synthetases). tRNAs cope with the degeneracy of the genetic code in two manners: having more than one tRNA (with a specific anti-codon) for a particular amino acid; and 'wobble' base-pairing, i.e. permitting non-standard base-pairing at the 3rd anti-codon position. The record is from RNAcentral. Lineage: Eukaryota; Fungi; Ascomycota; Eurotiomycetes; Eurotiales; Aspergillaceae.
GCCUGUUGCUUCAGCAUCAUUGGUCUAGUGGUAGAAUUCGUCGUUGCCAUCGACGAGGCCCGUGUUCGAUUCACGGAUGAUGCACUAC